CAACCUUGUACCUAAUGACUAUGGUUUUCUUGCGGUAGAGAAGGUAAGUAAUGAUUUGAUUAUUGUGUUCGAAUUUGUCUAUUUUGCUUUUACCUCUAUAUACUACUGCUUUACUUUCUAGGGUUUUAAGAAAGAAACCCGUUAAUGUCCUCGAUUCAAUAUGAGGCUUUGGAGUAUCUACAUAAAAAUGAAGGCCAAUCUGUGAUCCAUCGCGAUGUAAAAUCAUCAAAUGUUUUGUUAUCUGAGGAUUUUGAACCCCAGCUCUCUGACUUUGGACUUGCAAAAUGGGCAUCAACUUCAUCAUCACACAUAAUCUGCAUAGAUGUUGCUGGAACCUUUGGUUACAUGGCUCCUGAGUACUUCAUGUAUGGCAAAGUAAAUGACAAGAUUGCUUGUACGUGGAGAGAGCAUUUGGGGUUCUUCCAUCAUCAGUGGCCAAGUUCUUCUGGCGAAUAUACUACACUCGUGAGGCCAAAGCCUACUUGCAAGAUGUUGCAAACAAAAACAAUUCCAUAGGGAGGGGGCACUCUAAACCAAUUUGAUACCUGUAGCCAUGCCAUCACUACACCGACCUCUGAAAAAUAUGACAGCAUCAAAAACACCUCAGUGUGGAGUUUGGAGCAGGCUAGACACAACCAUCCAAAUAGGGAAGUUGUCUAACUUACCCUUCGCUUUGAAUUGUUAUUCUGUUUUAGCCUGUAAGUGAUAAUAUCGAAUGAAUAUCUUGCUGAUUUUGGUGUGAAAGUUAACUGUGCAGUAUACUUAGAACAGUUUGGGAUCAAAUAGGAAUUAUUCAAUGCUUCAGUUGCACAAGACCCGAGUGAAAGGGAAGUUGUUUGCUUAAAUUGUUUUGUAUGACUUGCAAUUAUUGGAAUUGGAAUUGUUUGAUCUGCUAAUUUUGAGUGAAUUCUUGUGCAGCAGAUUUCAAUUUGGAAGCAAAGGCAAUUCCUUCAGCUGCAUCAAGUGUCGAGACCAAGAUAAAAGGGAAUGGAGAAUCAAAUAAAAAGAAGUGAAUCUAGAAGCUAAACAAGCUUAAAGCUGCUAGAAACAACAGCAACGUGCACGUGAUUCUUCAUGGAAAAAUGAGCAAGGACCUGGACCGUAGCAGCUUAGUGGACAGCCAGAUUUGGG
Molecule: RNA transcript, 1131 nt
Organism: Vigna radiata var. radiata (mung bean)
Lineage: Eukaryota; Viridiplantae; Streptophyta; Magnoliopsida; Fabales; Fabaceae
Gene name: receptor-like cytosolic serine/threonine-protein kinase RBK1
Exons: 5
Source: RefSeq, a predicted model, not a curated record